This 459-nucleotide ribosomal RNA is filed under the name uncultured bacterium. RNAcentral describes it as "SSU rRNA". It matches the Rfam family "Bacterial small subunit ribosomal RNA", at positions 26 to 518 of the family's 1533-position model. The record is from RNAcentral.
AGAAUCAACGCUGGCGGCGUGCCUAACACAUGCAAGUCGCACGAGAAAGGGACUUCGGUCCUGAGUACAGUGGCGCACGGGUGAGUAACACGUGAAUCAUCUACCUCCGAGUGGGGAAUAACUGAGAGAAAUCUUAGCUAAUACCGCAUAACACUUACGAGUCAAAGCAGCAAUGCGCUUGGAGAGGAGUUCGCGGCAGAUUAGUUAGUUGGCGGGGUAAUGGCCCACCAAGACGAUGAUCUGUAUCCGGCCUGAGAGGGCGCACGGACACACUGGAACUGAAACACGGUCCAGACUCCUACGGGAGGCAGCAGUGGGGAAUUUUGCGCAAUGGGGGAAACCCUGACGCAGCAACGCCGCGUGGAGGAUGAAAUCCCUUGGGAUGUAAACUCCUUUCGAUCGGGAAGAUAAUGACGGUACCGAGAGAAGAAGCCCGGCUAACUUCGCGCCAGCAGCCGC